AGAGUUUGAUCCUGGCUCAGGACGAACGCUGGCGGCGUGCUUAACACAUGCAAGUCGAGCGAUGAAGCUUCCUUCGGGAAGUGGAUUAGCGGCGGACGGGUGAGUAACACGUGGGUAACCUGCCUCAAAGUGGGGGAUAGCCUUCCGAAAGGAAGAUUAAUACCGCAUAAUAUAAGAGAAUCGCAUGAUUUUUUUAUCAAAGAUUUAUUGCUUUGAGAUGGACCCGCGGCGCAUUAGCUAGUUGGUAAGGUAACGGCUUACCAAGGCAACGAUGCGUAGCCGACCUGAGAGGGUGAUCGGCCACAUUGGAACUGAGACACGGUCCAGACUCCUACGGGAGGCAGCAGUGGGGAAUAUUGCGCAAUGGGGGAAACCCUGACGCAGCAACGCCGCGUGGGUGAUGAAGGUCUUCGGAUUGUAAAGCCCUGUUUUCUAGGACGAUAAUGACGGUACUAGAGGAGGAAGCCACGGCUAACUACGUGCCAGCAGCCGCGGUAAUACGUAGGUGGCGAGCGUUGUCCGGAUUUACUGGGCGUAAAGGGUGCGUAGGCGGAUGUUUAAGUGGGAUGUGAAAUCCCCGGGCUUAACCUGGGGGCUGCAUUCCAAACUGGAUAUCUAGAGUGCAGGAGAGGAAAGCGGAAUUCCUAGUGUAGCGGUGAAAUGCGUAGAGAUUAGGAAGAACACCAGUGGCGAAGGCGGCUUUCUGGACUGUAACUGACGCUGAGGCACGAAAGCGUGGGUAGCAAACAGGAUUAGAUACCCUGGUAGUCCACGCCGUAAACGAUGGAUACUAGGUGUAGGGGGUAUCAACU
Molecule: ribosomal RNA, 812 nt
Filed under: Clostridium botulinum
Lineage: Bacteria; Bacillati; Bacillota; Clostridia; Eubacteriales; Clostridiaceae
Description: bacterial SSU rRNA
Rfam family: Bacterial small subunit ribosomal RNA
Source: RNAcentral